GAUGAACGCUGGCGGCGUGCCUAAUACAUGCAAGUCGAACGAACAGACCCUGAGCUUUCUCGGCUGACGUUAGCGGCAGCCGGGUGGGUACCACGUGGUUAACCUCCCUAUACUACUGGGAUACCUUCGGGAAACGGGAGCUAAUACGGGAUAAUAUAUUGAGCCGCAUGGUUCAGUAGUGAAAGACGGUUUUGCUGUCACUUAUAGAUGGAUCCGCGCCGCAUUAGCUAGUUGGUAAGGUAAGGGCUUACCAAGGCAACGAUGCGUAGCCGACCGGAGAGGGGGGUCGGCGACACUGGAGGGGAGGAGCGGCCCAGACGCCUACGGGAGGAAGCAGUAGGGAAGGGUACGCAACGGUCGGAAGACGGACGGAGCAACGACGCGGCAGUGAUGAAGGUCUCCGGAGCGUAAAAAUCCUCUAUUGGGGAAGAACAAAUGUGUAAGUUACUAUGCACGGCUGGACGGUGCCUAAUCAGAAAGCGACGGCUAACUACGUG
Molecule: ribosomal RNA, 497 nt
Filed under: uncultured bacterium
Lineage: Bacteria
Description: partial 16S ribosomal RNA
Rfam family: Bacterial small subunit ribosomal RNA
Source: RNAcentral